GAGUAACGCGUGGGAACGUGCCCUUUGGUACGGAACAACUGAGGGAAACUUCAGCUACUACCGUAUGUGCCCUUCGGGGGAAAGAUUUAUCGCCAUUGGAGCGGCCCGCGUUAGAUUAGCUAGUUGGUAGGGUAAAGGCCUACCAAGGCGACGAUCUAUAGCUGGUCUGAGAGGAUGAUCAGCCACACUGGGACUGAGACACGGCCCAGACUCCUACGGGAGGCAGCAGUAGGGAAUCUUGCGCAAUGGGCGAAAGCCUGACGCAGCCAUGCCGCGUGAAUGAUGAAGGUCUUAGGAUUGUAAAAUUCUUUCACCGGGGACGAUAAUGACGGUACCCGGAGAAGAAGCCCCGGCUAACUUCGUGCCAGCAGCCGCGGUAAUACGAAGGGGGCUAGCGUUGCUCGGAAUUACUGGGCGUAAAGGGAGCGUACGCGGAUAGUUUAGUCAGAGGUG
RNAcentral lists this ribosomal RNA (453 nucleotides) under alpha proteobacterium DCo04-72. Its description in RNAcentral is "bacterial SSU rRNA". It matches the Rfam family "Bacterial small subunit ribosomal RNA", at positions 108 to 596 of the family's 1533-position model. The record is from RNAcentral. Lineage: Bacteria; Pseudomonadati; Pseudomonadota; Alphaproteobacteria.